CAGAGUAGAAAUUCCCAUGAGAUUUAUGGAUAUAAAAAAUUCUGAAAAAAAAAAGUAACAAUUUGCUGUUGCCACUAUCCAUUGAAAGUGAUGAGAUAUAAGUAAUAGGGGGAAAAAUGAAUGAAAUUCUGGUCAUAUACUCAUAUACUAUGCACCAGAAAGGAAAGUACAGUAAAAUAUUAUCCAGCAUUGGCCUGAUGGUAAGGUUGUGUCACCGCAACUGAGAGGUUAUGGGUUCAAGGCUUACAUCUUGCCCUUUCUCAACUCACCUCUACCGCAAAAACCUUGUGCAUAGGAGUUUUUUAGAACAUUUUUUAUUAAUCGUAAAAUUUCCAAUCUCUCUAUAGGAUUGGAGGAUCCAAGAUGAGGAUACCACAAAAUUUUAUUUACAUGGAUACAUGUCACAGACCACAAUUGUUUGGGGUUACAGUUUCAAUGAAGCUGAUGGUUGUAAGACUUCCAAUAGUAGUAAGAAUUUUCUUAGAAGGGCACAAAAAAUGGUCAUGGUGUCUAAAUUAAAAUAUUGUAAAUACGGAAAAGUACUGCUGUCACACCCAUCUUUGCCUAUGGCUAUUUGGUGAUGAUGUGUGUCAUGACUCAUGGUUUCUCAAUGGUAAAAGAAAAUGAAAAGAAAAAAGAAAGAAAGAAAAUUUAAAAAAAAAAAAAA
Tripterygium wilfordii is the source of this 667-nucleotide long non-coding RNA. RefSeq lists it as uncharacterized. The transcript is spliced from 2 exons. The record is from RefSeq and is a predicted model, not a curated record. NCBI's taxonomy places the organism in Eukaryota, Viridiplantae, Streptophyta, Magnoliopsida, Celastrales, Celastraceae.